GUGCUUGUUUCGGCAGCAUACAUACCAAAAUUGAAACAAUACAGAGAUUAGUAUGGCCCCUGGACAAGCAAAUUUGUGAAGCAAUUCAUAUUUUU
Molecule: small nuclear RNA, 95 nt
Organism: Mustela putorius furo (domestic ferret)
Lineage: Eukaryota; Metazoa; Chordata; Mammalia; Carnivora; Mustelidae
Source: Ensembl